This 1492-nucleotide long non-coding RNA is filed under the name Capra hircus (goat). Its description in RNAcentral is "lncRNA (ENSCHIG00010006122.1)". The record is from RNAcentral. Lineage: Eukaryota; Metazoa; Chordata; Mammalia; Artiodactyla; Bovidae.
AUGCUACUGACCAUUCAGUUAAAAAAGCCCAACAACAGAAGGAUCAUUUUUGGAUGUUUGGGUGAUAAUUUAGCUAAUGGAGCUUUCUUUCUUUAUCUNNCAAAAUGUUCCCGUGUUAUCUUCAUUCCACCAUCCUGGUGGAUAUUUUCCCUCCCGCUGCGGCCAAGCAGACUCCAGUUGAAAACAAUAACUGGAAACCAUGCAGCAACAUCCCCAACAUCCCCACUUUUACCAAGUUCACUGCAUCCUCCAGGGCCAUCCUCUUCACACAAGGGGCUUAACAAAUGUUGUUGGCAGAUGGAUUCACAGAAAGAAUCAUUCUGGGUGGCUUUCUAGCCCAUCUUUUCUAGGUUACAAGCAGAAAAAGUAUUCAACAGUGAAAGAAGGAGGGGGAAAAAAACAGACUGGGAUCUGAUUACCAGCUGACUUGCUUUUGCUUUUGUUAGUAGUGUAUUUUAUUAUUUACUGAGCAAUCUAAACUACUUGGCGGCUACAGUAAAAAUGAGGGGUCCUAAAGUAAUGCUGGAGAAUAAUUUUCAAAAGGCUAAAAAGAUGAUCUCAUACAUACAUAAAAUAAACAUGUGGUGAAUGAUUUUAUCCAACUCAGUUAAUGAGGGAAAUGGUAAAAGACUGGGGUUGAAUAAGAAUUGGAGGAGCUUAAGUAUUUAUAAAUUUAAAAAGGAAUGUUAGUAUUACUUAAGAUUACUAAGUUAGAUACAAAAUUAGUUAAUGUCCUACAGGGCCACAAGCCUCAGCCUAUAGGGUUAUCUUUCCCACUGAACAGAAAUUAUCUGUCUCUAACCAGACAGAAAUCUACAUGUUAACCUCUGCUGCUAUGGAGUUGUCAAAUAACAGUCAACAGACAGUUAAAGGAGCAAGCUGGGCAGUGCACUGGAAGAACACCCAGAAACCCCCUCUCCUGUCUCUAGCCUGAGUUUUGAAUAAUUGUUCUGACACUCAUAAGAGGCUCUCAAAAGGGAAUGGCAAAGGCCUGACAUCAUACUAGAACAGCACGCAGGUCUCGCUAAUGCACAGGACAUUGUACCAGUUACAAAGAACACUCUUAGGGCUGGUGUUCAAUCUGCACAGUUUGAGGUAACACGACUUGAUUUAUGUAAUGACAAGACUCAGAGACAUAGGGCUCACAAAAAUAUGUUCCAGUGAAUAUUAAUGAGCACAGAGGUCAUCUACAUGGCAGCCUCGGUGGUCUGGAACCCAGUUGGGAACCAACCUACACAUAAAUUUAAAGGGCACUGAAGUCCAGUUUUAGAGUUAAUUCUCACAGCCUGUCUCAUCUGCAGAGUACUGGACACAGUGAUUUAUUAGUAGAGAGGUGCCUUUAGAGAGGAAUACGUAAUCCAUAAGCACCCAGGGCCACUUAGUUACAGGCUACAGCUCUCUAAACCUCUGAAGGUAUUGAUGUCUAAUAGUAAAGUCCUAUAAGAAAACGAAGAUCAUGACAUCCGGUCCCAUCACUUCAUGGGAAAUAGAU